This 1060-nucleotide long non-coding RNA is filed under the name Olea europaea subsp. europaea. The record is from RNAcentral. Lineage: Eukaryota; Viridiplantae; Streptophyta; Magnoliopsida; Lamiales; Oleaceae.
CAAUAAUCUGCAAUAACCAAAAGAAUAAAACUGUAGGUACAGAAUUAUUUUCACAGGAAAGCUACAGAUUUUUAAAAUCUGUGACGUGGCAGCAACAAAUAAUAUUUAAUUAAGCAAAAAAAAAAGGCAAAAAAGAAUUAGAAGUCAAAUGGAAACCGCAAAAUCUCAGCCAUUUCCCACUAAUUUGUCUGCAACCCAGCCCGCCCUCCAAGAGUAGAACCCAGCCCGCCGCUCAAUCAAGAUUCAUCGGCGCAUUCUUCCCCCCACAAAUACAAACCAGUCCGCCAUCCACCGCUCAAUCAAGAUUCACCGACACAUUCUUCUCCCCAAAAUCCUUUUGUAGCCGUUGUCAAAAUAUAGUGCAGAUUCAAUCCAGGUUAGUUCUCUGCAAUCUUCGGGUUUCAAUUUUAGUUGUGGGAAAUGCUUUUUCAUUGUUGGCCUGAGUUGGCCGAUUGGGUCUUGAUAUAGGGACUCAAAAUUAGCUUCAAUUAUGGGCAUCCCUUUUUCUGUCCCAUUAAAAUGAGUAUUCUUAGGAAAAGAUCUCUAGGUAACUGAUUUAUUAUUUUCUGCCACUUUUGGAUGAAGUUUGUAGCACCUUGUUCUAAGGAUCUUUAACUUGAUUACUUUAUUUUGCAGGUAGUAGGUAGUUUAUGAAGAAGUUAAGAUGCUAGUUCAAAGAAAAUGAAGCUUGCUAUUGAUUGCUAUUUCAUCAAGAUGUCAGGCUAUAUGUAAUUUGCUAAUUUGCUACUGUACUGUAAAAUAGGAAGUUGGUAUUUUGUUACUGUAUUGUAAAGCCCCACCACGUUUAGUAUCCAAUCUGCUGUGUUAUAAAAUAGGUGGCCGAAUUCUCAUCAAUUCAUUGUGGUUUAAAAUAUUCAUCUUAUUUUGCUGAUAAUUUUGUCAUCAUUGUUGGACUAUGCAAUGUCAUUUGCUACAGAAUGGAUGCAUUUGGCUUCGGUUUUUGGCACUUUUCAGGAAUGUUAUUUUUUUCUCGGUGCGGGAAUUAUUUCAUUGUUAUUUGAUCCUUCAACUUUGUGUCAAUUUAGAUGAUAAAAAGCAG